Molecule: non-coding RNA, 150 nt
Organism: Brachypodium distachyon (stiff brome)
Lineage: Eukaryota; Viridiplantae; Streptophyta; Magnoliopsida; Poales; Poaceae
Gene: MIR160D
Product: microRNA MIR160d
Exons: 1
Source: RefSeq, marked provisional
AGAGACGAAGGUGAAGCUUAUGUUGGGAUGUGCCUGGCUCCCUGUAUGCCACUCAUCUAUAGCAACAUUCCUUCCUGAUGAGGUUGCCUAGGAUGGAUGGCGUGCACGGAGCCAAGCAUAUCCCCCUUGAUCCCAACCGUCUCUUCUCAU